CGUUCUCUGGGUUGUUCGUGUUUUGUCGAUGUCCCUGAGCCGAUAAUUGUUUUGUUAAGGGAUGUUUCUGCGUCGCUUUUGUGCAGGCCCGGCUAGUACCGGGAAGCCUACGGUGGCCAUUGGCGUUCCGCCUUGAACCUUGGGUUCAAGGGCUGAUACAGGGCACGGCAACUUCGGAGAACAC
Non-coding RNA from Alishewanella agri BL06, 184 nucleotides. Lineage: Bacteria; Pseudomonadati; Pseudomonadota; Gammaproteobacteria; Alteromonadales; Alteromonadaceae. The record is from Rfam.